RNAcentral lists this ribosomal RNA (235 nucleotides) under uncultured bacterium. Its description in RNAcentral is "partial 16S ribosomal RNA". It matches the Rfam family "Bacterial small subunit ribosomal RNA", at positions 96 to 334 of the family's 1533-position model. The record is from RNAcentral.
UGGCGGACGGGUGAGUAAUGUCUGGGAAACUGCCUGAUGGAGGGGGAUAACUACUGGAAACGGUAGCUAAUACCGCAUAACGUCGCAAGACCAAAGAGGGGGACCUUCGGGCCUCUUGCCAUCGGAUGUGCCCAGAUGGGAUUAGCUAGUAGGUGGGGUAACGGCUCACCUAGGCGACGAUCCCUAGCUGGUCUGAGAGGAUGACCAGCCACACUGGAACUGAGACACGGCCCAG